UACGUAGGGUGCAAGCGUUAAUCGGAAUUACUGGGCGUAAAGCGUGCGCAGGCGGUUUUGUAAGUCUGACGUGAAAUCCCCGGGCUCAACCUGGGAAUUGCGUUGGAGACUGCAAGGCUAGAAUCUGGCAGAGGGGGGUAGAAUUCCACGUGUGAGCAGUGAAAUGCGUAGAGAUGUGGAGGAACACCGAUGGCGAAGGCAGCCCCCUGGGUCAAGAUUGACGCUCAUGCACGAA
Molecule: ribosomal RNA, 235 nt
Filed under: uncultured bacterium
Lineage: Bacteria
Description: partial 16S ribosomal RNA
Rfam family: Bacterial small subunit ribosomal RNA
Source: RNAcentral